This is a small nucleolar RNA of Echeneis naucrates (live sharksucker), 131 nucleotides long. Ensembl annotates it as small nucleolar RNA SNORA55. The record is from Ensembl. NCBI's taxonomy places the organism in Eukaryota, Metazoa, Chordata, Actinopteri, Carangiformes, Echeneidae.
GCACCUUACAGCAACCCUGUCAUUUCUGUUCAGUGUUUGAUACGGUUAAUGCUGGUGCCAUAGAGACUCAAUGUAAAUCCAGAUGGCCCUCCUCUUCCUGUGGAGCCCGUCUCUACAACUUUGAUACAAAA